This 271-nucleotide unclassified non-coding RNA is filed under the name Peniophora albobadia. RNAcentral's name for it is "partial internal transcribed spacer region". The stretch from base 1 to 46 matches the Rfam family "Eukaryotic small subunit ribosomal RNA", at positions 1786 to 1831 of the family's 1831-position model. Lineage: Eukaryota; Fungi; Basidiomycota; Agaricomycetes; Russulales; Peniophoraceae. The record is from RNAcentral.
AAGUCGUAACAAGGUUUCCGUAGGUGAACCUGCGGAAGGAUCAUUAGCGAAGUUCGGAAUGCAUGUUCGAUGUUGAUGCUGCCCAGCGAUGGGAUGUGCUCGCUCGGAUGUGUGUCCCUUCUCUAUCCACCCCAUUGUGAACCAAGUGUGUGAGCCGAAGAGAAAUCGGACGCUCGCAUGCAAACCUUUAACAUACCCCAAUAAAGUAUCAGAAUGUACCUUGCGUUAACUCGCACAAAUAUAACUUUCAACAACGGAUCUCUUGGCUCUC